CCUGCCGCGUGAGUGAUGAAGGCCUUAGGGUUGUAAAGCUCUUUCGGCGGGGAAGAUAAUGACGGUACCCGCAGAAGAAGCCCCGGCUAACUUCGU
This 96-nucleotide ribosomal RNA is filed under the name uncultured Alphaproteobacteria bacterium. Its description in RNAcentral is "partial 16S ribosomal RNA". It matches the Rfam family "Bacterial small subunit ribosomal RNA", at positions 393 to 506 of the family's 1533-position model. Lineage: Bacteria; Pseudomonadati; Pseudomonadota; Alphaproteobacteria. The record is from RNAcentral.